This 75-nucleotide transfer RNA is filed under the name Candidatus Methanohalarchaeum thermophilum. RNAcentral describes it as "tRNA-Lys". It matches the Rfam family "tRNA". Rfam says of the family: Transfer RNA (tRNA) molecules are approximately 80 nucleotides in length. Their secondary structure includes four short double-helical elements and three loops (D, anti-codon, and T loops). Lineage: Archaea; Methanobacteriati; Methanobacteriota; Methanonatronarchaeia; Methanonatronarchaeales; Methanonatronarchaeaceae. The record is from RNAcentral.
GGGCCUGUAGCUCAGCCUGGUAGAGCGACUGGCUCUUAACCAGUUAGUCAGGGGUUCAAAUCCCCUCGGGCCCGC